UCCUCUAAUGAUGAGAGGUUAAGCGUGCU
RNAcentral lists this non-coding RNA (29 nucleotides) under Mus musculus (house mouse). The record is from RNAcentral. Lineage: Eukaryota; Metazoa; Chordata; Mammalia; Rodentia; Muridae.